This is a long non-coding RNA of Apodemus sylvaticus (European woodmouse), 2058 nucleotides long. RefSeq lists it as uncharacterized. Lineage: Eukaryota; Metazoa; Chordata; Mammalia; Rodentia; Muridae. The transcript is spliced from 3 exons. The record is from RefSeq and is a predicted model, not a curated record.
UUGAGAGAGAAACUCUCACUGAGCCUGGAACUAGGCUGGUGGCCAGCAAGCCUAAUUAUUCUUCUGUCUCCACCACCCCCACGCUGGUGAGGUUACAGGCAUGUGACCACUCAGGUUUUUUGGGUUUGUUGUUUUCUUUUGUUUUGUUUCAUCUUGUUUUUAAUGUAAGUACUGGGAAUUUGAACUCAGGUCCUUAUGACUGGACAGCAGGCUCUCACCCUCUGAGUCAUCUCCGCAGACCCAUUUCUUUCCUCCUCUUUAUUAACAUCCCCAAAUAGACCUAUGCGGUAUUUUGAUGAUCUCUCUUUAAGUGGAAUUGGCGUUGUUUCUAUAUGUGGGCUGUGAAUGAUGUUGCUACAUGAGAAGACUCCGAGCACUUCUUUAAGAUCCUGUUUUAAGUUCUUCUAUAAAUAUCUAGACUUUUUUUUUCUAGCUCUUGGAAUAAAACCACAGCUAGAUCUGAAGCCCUUUGUCCUGCAGAGGAGACAGUAAACUAAACAAGGAGGAAUGCAGGCUGUAGGGCAAGUUUCAGGAGAGAGUGAAGAUGUAAGAUGACCUGACUCCUUAUGUCUGUCGAGGUGACUUCUUCUGCUGACCAGAGCAGCGGCAGGCGAGAACUGAGUCUGAGGCUUGAUGAAGGAGAAGAGACAUCGCAGCUGAUGAGGGGAAUGCAGCCAGGAGACGGCAAGAUGUUAGCAGAGGACCUGGGCUGUGUGUCUCUAUCCCUGGAGGAGAAGGGUGAGAGCAGAGGACCUCCCCCUUUUGUUGGAGACAGUAUGCCGCAUGUAAUUUAGCUGCCUUUAAACUUGUUGUAUUGUCUAGAGUAACCCUGGUCUUCCCCCUCCCAGGGCUGGGGUGGUAGGCCUGCUCCAUCGUGCCUUGUUUAUGGGGUACUAAGGAUAGAACCCAGGGUCUUAUGCAUAGGAGGCAAGUACUCUUCCAACCGUACUAUAUCCUAAGCUCACUUAAAAUCUAGCUCAUUUGUGUGGGGAGGAAAGAAAGCGUGUGGUAAGUGUGCUUGGAAAUGAUCCUUAUAGAAAGCUAUGGACAUCUGCCAGGACCCAGCAGUAUUCACAGGGUCACAUAGUAGGGUCAGGGCUGCAGAGGACAGUGGGGGAAGAAUGGAUACUGAGAACGAGCUAGCUUUGUAAAUAGGUCAGAGGAUGUGGCAGGAGGCCAAGGAAGGAAAGGGCAGGCAGCUGAAUGCCGGAGAAGUGCUGAGGGCAGCACGCCUGAAGACUAGCUCCUACAGGAGCUCCCUGGGAAACAAGGCGGGCACAGCCACGGCCCGGGCACCAUUAUCUGUUCCCUCAAGUCCUUCCCAGUGCCUCCUGUCACCCUGUCCUUGACAUGAUCCCUCUCUGUGCUCAGACUACUCAUUUUCCUAGACACUGGGAACGUUCUUCACUAUCAAGAUCUCCACGCUGCAUGCAAGUUCAGGAAGCAAAGGGCUCACUUUUGUUGACCUUGUUGACCUACAGUGACUGCCUGGCCCAAGACCUGCAGGUCUCAGGGAACCUCCUUGGUGACUCCACGGGCUGACUGCACUUCCUGCCCUCCGCUGUCCUAGCUCCUUAAACAGAUGUGGGCUGAAGUGAAACUGCCCAGGAGUCUCAUUUGAGCUCAUCUUUGAUCUGUUAUGAAGGAGACAUGUUAGAAGUCCUCCCACAGGCUGUUUAACCUAAGGAAACCACUGUUCUCCUGAGACAUUGACUAUCCAGAUGACAGUGCCCCACUGUGUGCCCCACAAAUGUACUGGCAAUCAGUGCUAGAUAACCACAGGAGUUGCAAAGCAGCACAACCCAAGGCCGUGAUUCCCAACGCUGCAGUCAUCACAAAAGUCAGGCCAGGGCUCCAGAAGGCACUGCACAAGCACACACGGUUAAGGCCGGUCACUUCCCACACGUCUGCCAGUCUGCCAUCACAGCUACACUGCAGCCAAGACGUCAGGGUCUGUAAGUUCAAGGUUGGUAUGAGCUACAGGGUGAGUUCAAGGCCAGCCUGGUAAUUCUGUAAUGUCCUGUUUCAAAAUAAAAGCAAAAUAGUUAUGGCAAUGUA